GGACAUUUUUCAUUCUCACAGAGUAGUGCAUUGCGAUCUGAAACUGCAGAACAUUCUGGUAACCAGCAGUGGACAGAUAAAGCUUGCCACAUCUAUAGUUUUCAGAUGGCCCUUACCUCGGUGGACCUACCACAGGCAAAAAUCUGCUCUAUGAAAAAUUGAAGAUGAAAGAAAAGGAGGUUAUGUCAUUUCUGCACAACUUAGAGAUGGAGUACACUGAGGCCCGAGAGAACAACCAGGAGCUCAAGAAGGAGAUAAAUGUCUAUCGUAACCUGCACAGCCGGCUCCUGAUGGAGAAGAAUCUUAUAAAGAAGAAGUUGGUGAUAUUGAAGCAGGAGAGCAAGAAAGUACAGACUGAUUGGGCCCUCAUUCAUCAAUAUUUGGUGGAUUUGCACCUGAGUGGUAAAGAUGAACAGGAGAAGACCAGCAACCUUGAGACUCAAGAACAUCAGGUCUCAGAAACUUCAAGAGAGCUGGGAUUGCCCACAGCCCAAGAAUAGAGCAUCCUGCAGAAUAAAUUGCCACCCCAAGAGCCCCCUGCUGAGCACCAUCCCCAGCAUCCACAAUCUUCCUUGGAUGAAUCUUCUUCCAUAGAGUUCAUUUCCUUAGGGUGAAUAGGCCCUAACUAGGAAGCCAUGGCUGACUCAGGGUGUUAUUCCCUUUUCUCUUCAGACAACUCCCCUUGGCAGAGAACUGAGGUUAUUGCACUGCCACCAAGUGUCCAGGAGGAGUAACAGGCUGUAGGUCUGUGCUGCUAAAUGUGCAGAAAGAGAAAGCAGCUGAACAAUAAUUUCAUGUUAGAGUUUUGGUUGAAGUUUUGCUUUUUGUUCUUUGAGUUGUUGCUAUGUUAUUUAGAAGUUAUAUGUGCUUGUUCUUGUUUUUCUUUUUUCUUUUUUUUUGCUUUUACCUCUAUAUUAAUUGAACUUUUAAAACCUGUUUUUUGUUCUUUUUAAAAAAUCUAUUUCUUAUGAAUAAAAAUUGAUUUGCAAG
RNAcentral lists this long non-coding RNA (990 nucleotides) under Mus musculus (house mouse). RNAcentral describes it as "predicted gene, 58407". Lineage: Eukaryota; Metazoa; Chordata; Mammalia; Rodentia; Muridae. The record is from RNAcentral.